UCAGUCGGCCGGACGGCCGUCCCGGCCAUCGCCGAAAGGCGGCCGGGGAGGAAAGUCCGGGCUCCAUGGACAUACGGUGCCGGAUAAGGUCCGGCGGGGGCGACCCCAGGGACAGUGCCACAGAGAACAGACCGCCGCGGCGCGUUGCGUUUUUGUCGCGGUAAGGGUGAAACGGUGCGGUAAGAGCGCACCGCGCGUCCGGCAACGGAGGCGGCACGGCAAACCCCACCGGGAGCAAAACCGAAUAGGGACGACGUCGCGGUGCAAGCCGCGGGACCGAUGUCCGGGUCCAGUCGUCCGGGUUGGUCGCUAGAGGCGCCGGGCGACCGGCGUCCCAGAGGAAUGGCCGUCGCGCGGAGCGGGUUUCCCGCCCCGCCCUACAGAACCCGGCUUACAGGCCGGCUGAUCGU
This 410-nucleotide RNase P RNA is filed under the name Rhodovulum sp. PH10. Its description in RNAcentral is "Bacterial RNase P class A". It matches the Rfam family "Bacterial RNase P class A". From Rfam's summary of the family: Ribonuclease P (RNase P) is a ubiquitous endoribonuclease, found in archaea, bacteria and eukarya as well as chloroplasts and mitochondria. The record is from Rfam by way of RNAcentral. Lineage: Bacteria; Pseudomonadati; Pseudomonadota; Alphaproteobacteria; Rhodobacterales; Paracoccaceae.